RNAcentral lists this transfer RNA (72 nucleotides) under Camelus bactrianus (Bactrian camel). It matches the Rfam family "tRNA". From Rfam's summary of the family: Transfer RNA (tRNA) molecules are approximately 80 nucleotides in length. Their secondary structure includes four short double-helical elements and three loops (D, anti-codon, and T loops). Lineage: Eukaryota; Metazoa; Chordata; Mammalia; Artiodactyla; Camelidae. RNAcentral also lists the same sequence under 2 other names. The record is from Rfam by way of RNAcentral.
GAGGGUGUAGCUCAGUGGCAGAGCAGGUACUUAGCCUGCAUCAGGUCCUGGGUUCGAUCCCCAGUACCGACA